RNAcentral lists this ribosomal RNA (372 nucleotides) under uncultured bacterium. RNAcentral describes it as "bacterial SSU rRNA". It matches the Rfam family "Bacterial small subunit ribosomal RNA", at positions 434 to 793 of the family's 1533-position model. The record is from RNAcentral.
CAGUCGUGAGGAAGGUGGUGUAGUUAAUAGCUGCAUCAUUUGACGUUAGCGACAGAAGAAGCACCGGCUAACUCCGUGCCAGCAGCCGCGGUAAUACGGAGGUGCGAGCGUUAAUCGGAAUUACUGGGCGUAAAGCGCAUGCAGGUGGUUUGUUAAGUCAGAUGUGAAAGACCCGGGGCGUCAACCUACGGAAUUGCAUUUGUAAACUAGGCAGACUAGAGUACUGUACGGGGGGGGUAGGGAAUUUCAGGUGUAGCGGUGAAAAUGCGUAGAGAUCUGAAGGAAUACCGGUGGCGAAGGCGGCCCCCUGGACAGAUACUGACACUCAGAUGCGAAAGCGUGGGGAGCAAACAGGAUUAGAUACCCUGGUAG